AUUGAACGCUGGCGGCAUGCUUUACACAUGCAAGUCGAACGGUAACAGGCCUUCGGGUGCUGACGAGUGGCGCACGGGUGAGUAAUGCAUCGGAACGUGCCCAGAGGUGGGGGAUAACGCAGCGAAAGCUGUGCUAAUACCGCAUGUGAUCUGAGGAUGAAAGCGGGGGACCAGGCAGCAAUGUUUGGCCUCGCGCCUUUGGAGCGGCCGAUGUCAGAUUAGGUAGUUGGUGGGGUAAAGGCCUACCAAGCCGACGAUCUGUAGCUGGUCUGAGAGGACGACCAGCCACACUGGGACUGAGACACGGCCCAGACUCCUACGGGAGGCAGCGGUGGGGAAUUUUGGACAAUGGGCGCAAGCCUGAUCCAGCAAUGCCGCGUGCGGGAAGAAGGCCUUCGGGUUGUAAACCGCUUUUGUACGGAACGAAAAGGCUCUGGCUAAUACCUGGGGCUGAUGACGGUACCGUAAGAAUAAGCACCGGCUAACUACGUG
RNAcentral lists this ribosomal RNA (492 nucleotides) under uncultured bacterium. RNAcentral's name for it is "partial 16S ribosomal RNA". It matches the Rfam family "Bacterial small subunit ribosomal RNA", at positions 30 to 507 of the family's 1533-position model. The record is from RNAcentral.